AACCACCACCACAUAGAACCACCAUCACAUAGAACCACCGUCAGAUAGAACCACCGUCACAUAGAACCACCGUCAGAUAGAACCACCGUCAGAUAGAACCACCGUCAGAUAGAACCAAUCCCGAUCAUUGCCGCCAGUCUCUCAUCAGGAGGGGACAGCUCCGGUGUCGUGAGGCUGCAGCGUUGCUCUGCAACCUUUUGCCCCUCAGGUGCCUUGUUGGCAUCAGUGAUCCACACUGUGUCCUCCAAAGAGCAUCUUACGUCUCCUUCCACCUCCCAGUGAUCAUCUCCACUUCACACUGAGUGAAGUUACGUCUCUUCGUUUUCCUCUCAGUGUUUGUCAUGAUUUCACAAUCGAUGAAUAUUCAUUUGUGGGCGUUCCACAGACUAUAUAAGGGCAACUGUGGGCGUGACAUGAAGCCGCAAAAGCUGCGCUGCGUUUAGAAGUGAUUGUGAUUUAUUAAGGGAAAACUGCGUAGGACGUUUUAUCUGAGUCUGAAUAUUUCUGUGCGUCCGCACGUCCUACGUUUCAUCCGUACGACACUUCUGGAGCAAAUCCUACGCAAGGUUUUAUAAAUGAGGCCCCUGGUGUGGUAGAUGGACGUGGAUUUUAUCUCAGAGUAUUUGAGCCGCCAUUUGGCUUUUUAAUUGGUAAGCGCCUCGUGAUCUAAAUGAUUUUAAUGAGUGGUUGUAUUACCUAUUUUACCUCUUGCCCGUGCUGACCCAACUUGUUGACCCCUUGCAAAGAUUUUUAAAUCGAGGUGCACCCCUUUUAUUGGGUAUACGGCUCUUUGAGAUUUUAGACAGUGUUUUGCGUUGAAAGUUUUAUAACGGAUUUUGUGAUCCAGAGUGUAAUAAAUGAUCUUGCUUUUAAAUUCAUUGAUUUUGUUUGAAACUGUGGUUCGCACAGUACCUCACUGUUUGUUUAUUAUUAUUUACGUUUUUGUGGUUGUGAUAGUAUAAAUAUUGGCAACUCUUAUUAAAGUAAAAUUAUUUUAUUUUAUUUACCAACAAGAAAACUUUUUAGCUGUGGUAUUUUAAAAUGAGUUAAGUCGACUGUGUAUGAAAAAUACAUUUGGCAAAUCACAUUCAGAAUGAAAUUCUUUUUAAGCUUGGUCCAUUGGGCUUAUAUUAUCAUUGUAUUGGAAUAUCGGAUCAAUUGAAAGAAUUCCAUAUUAAGAUUCAUAUUUGUUUGCUUUGCUGCUCUCAGUUGACUUUACAUCCGAUUAACUUUGAUGUAUGAAUACAUAACACAAGCGGUAACAAUUAACAGAGGAAAUAGUGGAGAAACUUUUUUUUUUAAUUCUUUUAAUAAGCACACCAGCUGACGGUUGUGUUUUUAAGUGGUGAUUCAAUGGCGCCGCCUGCAUGUGAGUCAGUGAGACUGUGACUGAAGGGCCGCCCGAGGCCACAUCUCCCCUCAGCGUCCAGGUAGCUGAAGGUGGCAGCUCCUCCGCCCCCGAGCACCAGGCCGUCUGAUCAGCUUCCAGACUCCCACUUUCCCUCCAGGAGCAGCGAGUCAGCCUCUGCCAUCGCGCUGGAUUUAGCUGCAGAGGGGGAGACAGUCCUCCGGAGCUUUCAAAGGUUUCCUCCAUCAAAGGCUGAAUGACAACCUGAAAGCCACUGAGUGAAGGCAGAGGAUGUGCAUGUGUUGGGCAGAGAGUGGGAAAUGAGUGUGGAGGAGAAGAGUGCACCAGAAGUGCAAAGAAAGUAUAAUAUAUGUUUAAAAAACAAACUAGUAUUAUACAAAAUAAAAAAAUUGAAUACAGCAUUUUUUAUAAUCAGGUCGACCAAAUGGGGAGCGUCUGCUUAGGAGUCGUAAGAAAUACAUUUUCUUUUUAUAGAUCUGCUAUGUUCAGUUUAACAAUAUAUUUGCAGGAUUCAGUUGAAGGUUGAAGCAGUGAGGAGGUGAGAAGGGACCGUUAAACCAAAUUCUACAUGACUACCUUAAAAGAAUGACUGCCGCAAUUCUCCCCAUUUGUGUAAUCAAUCAAUGUACCUUGACCCUCCUAAACACUCCUCCCUCUAGGCGCGGUCUAACAAAACCUAACUUUCAUGAAACAUACUGAGCCCUGAAGCUGAACUUGUUUCCACUCUAUCUACAUACCUGGCACAUUUACAGCCACUAAAACUAACCAUUUCAGCCUGAGUACUUCAUGCUAUGGGAGAUGUGUUCAGAACAGAAUGGGGCCAAAAAAGGAUUUAAAUGAGGAAUACAGCCGACGUGUCUCACCAGCCUAAAGAAGAUGGCACUACAGACAUGCUAAGUAGUUUCGUAAAAAGAUGUUGUCACUGUCAUUUAGUCACCAACAAACAUGACGGGAGCGUAGGACUGAAGGCUGGCAGGCAUUCAAACCAGGUUCUCCUCUCAUGGAUUUAGAUGUAUUACACUGGUUUGAGCGUGGGCUUGUAGGAAUAGACCAAUGUAUUAUGUACCUACUGAGGGGAUUGUGUAAAUGUCUGGAUAGUGUCACAGGGUAUGCAUCAUGUCUGAGGGCGUCUGGGUGGUACUUUCUCCAGCAGGCUGGAAGACCAUGUUGGAGAGACACCAGGCAGCCGGAUGCCAGCUGAUCAAAUCACCCACACAUACAAACAGGCCUACUUCUCAGCACUUGAUAUAACCUGGGUCCUAUUUUUGUAGUUUUGUUAUCACUACUGUCAGUUGGGGCGAUAGUUUUCUGACCGAGUGUCCCAGCUCUUCCACCUCUUCCUCACCUAAUCAGUCCAUUCAGGGCACCUGCCAGUCACUCCCACCUCCUCCACUCAUUACUCUCACCUGCUCACGCUGCUUCUGCCACUUAUUAAACCCCUGCAUUACACACGUCCUCACUGCCAGGUCGUUCCAGCACAAACACUGAUUCCUAUUGUGUGUCUUUGGGGAAACUAUGGCUGCUGUUUAUUGUGCUGCUUCUGGGUCCGUACCUUACCCGUUACACCUACGUGAUAUCCGAGACCUGAUAGUAGCCUGGGAGCCGCUGCGCUGUUAACGGCAGCUCGUCUGUAGUUAAUAUAGUAACUAUAAUAUAAUAUAAUAUGAACCUGAAAUGUCUCUUUCUAAGUCAGUAACGUUACACAAUAAAUACACAGAAACUGGACUCGCUUUGCUCCUUUUGUUGAGUUGUGUGAUUAUAAACUAACUUUACAUUUAGUUGUGUUCUUCAAGUUCCUCUCUCAGUAAUUUGUUACUGUCAAGCGCAGCAGGUUGCUAGGCAACAGGAGCAGCAGCGGUAACGCUGAUGACGCAAGCAGGAAGUCCCCCAGUAGGCCAGACCGUCCCAUUUCAGAGACCGUCAGGUUCAGCCUGUGCGGUUGUUGGAGGACCAGACCAGGUCUACGAAGGCUGCUGAAGGCUGCAGGCCACAAGGAUGCAGCCUAGCGACUUCGAGACACAGCUUCUGUCUUGUGGCCACAUCACCUACAAACCAUUAACCCCUUACCUGUCUUCAAGUAUUUCCUUCCAGUAGCGCUAUGCGAUAAGUAAGAGUUGGCCUUUGGAGAUCAAUAGUAGGUUUCGCCAAUCCCCCAGUAGCUAGAAGAACAACCAUGUGAUGUAAUUGAAACGAAGUUGAACAUCAAACGGUGAAAAAACGUAUAGAAAACUGGAUAUAAUUGUGAUAUUUGUCUUUUGUUUGUAUGUGACAGUGCAAGUAACACACUUGUACUGUACAGACGUCCGUUUGCUACAAUCUGUUUGCAUUGCUCUUUAAUCCAGUUUGUUUUUAAUCAAUCCACCAUCUUCUCUUACGCCAAACAUAAACACUCUUUUUCCUAAUAUUUCAUGGUAUUUUGUGCAAAUUGAAAUCGUGCAUUAAAACAAUUGGAUGGACACGCAGUAGCAUCCUGGAUCAGACAGAGCUACAAGGAUUCCAAGUCAUUUAAAGGAUAGUUGGUAAAGUUUCCUCUAGUUUUCUUUUCCUCAAUCUUUUAAUGUUCACUUUAAAUUAAGUCCACCGGACUUCGUCUUCGGCGAUAGACAGGGUACAUCCUGGAUUGGUCGGCAGCCAAUCGCAGGGCCAACACAGAGACAAACAACCAUUCACACUCACAUUCACACAUCUACGGGCAAUUUAAAGUCCCCAGAGCAUGUCUUUGGACUGUGGGAGGAAGCCGGAGAACCCGGAGAGAACCCACGCAGAGAACACGCAGACUCCACACAGAAAGGCCACUGGGCGGAAUCGAACCCAGGACCUUCUUGCUGUGAGGCAACAGUGCUAACCACCACGCCACCGUGCCGCCCUGUUUUACAAAUGUACGGUUCGUAUUUUGCACUCUGAUAUAUUCAAAUUCAGAUAAAAUGGGACUUCUUAUUCAAAAACUCUUAUCAUGGAACCAAAUAAAUCACAAGCU
Molecule: long non-coding RNA, 4346 nt
Organism: Gasterosteus aculeatus aculeatus (three-spined stickleback)
Lineage: Eukaryota; Metazoa; Chordata; Actinopteri; Perciformes; Gasterosteidae
Source: Ensembl